GACUUCUGCGGAGGGAUGGCCUACUGUGGACCUCAGGUCGGUGUGGGGCUGGUGCCCCAAGGCGGCCUGGAGCUCCCUCAGCCCGAGGCCACGGUGGGAGCCGGGGUGGAGGGCAGCUCCGAGGGGGCCUCCCUGAGCCCUGCGCCGCCCCGGCUGGCGCCGGGAAGCUGGACAAGGAGAAGCAGGCGCCAAGCCCUGAGGAGUCCCAGGACAUCAGAGCUCUUCAGAAAGACCUGGCACAAUUUGCCAAGCUUCUGAAGCAGAAGAGGAUCACCCUGGGAUACACCAGGCCGAUGUGGGGCUCACCCUAGGGGCUCUCUUUGGGAAAGUGUUCAGCCAAAUGACCACCUGCCGUUUUGAGGCUCUGCAGCUCAGUUUCAAGAACGUGUGCAAGCUGCGGCCCUUGCUGCAGAGGUGGGUGGAGGAAGCCGACAACGACGAGAAUCUACAGGAGGUACGCAAAGCAGAGACCCUCGUGCGGGCCCGGGAGAGAAAGCCAACGAGUAUCGAGAACCGAGUGAGAGGCAACCUGCUGAGCAUGCUCCUGCAGUGCCCCAAACCCACCCUGCAGCAGAUCAGCCACAUCGCCCAGCAGCUCGGGCUUGAGAAGGAUGUGGUCCGAGUGUGCUUCUGCAACCGUCGCCAGAAGGGCAAACGAUCAAGCAGUGACUAUUCGCAACAAGAGGAUUUUGAGGCUCCUGGGUCGCCUUUCUCAGGGGCACCAGUAUCCUUUCCUCUGGCACCAGGGCCCCACUUUAGUACCCCGGGCUACGGGGGCCCUCACUUCACCACACUGUACUUCCUGGUCCCAUUCCCUGAGGGUGAGGCCUUUCCCUCGGUGUCUGUCACCACUCUGGGCUCUCCCAUGCAUUCAAACUGA
RNA transcript from Vicugna pacos (alpaca), 880 nucleotides. It is a transcript of the gene named POU domain, class 5, transcription factor 1 pseudogene, with no coding region annotated. NCBI's taxonomy places the organism in Eukaryota, Metazoa, Chordata, Mammalia, Artiodactyla, Camelidae. The record is from RefSeq and is a predicted model, not a curated record.